Molecule: unclassified non-coding RNA, 307 nt
Filed under: plant metagenome
Description: partial contains 5.8S ribosomal RNA, internal transcribed spacer 2, and large subunit ribosomal RNA
Rfam family: 5.8S ribosomal RNA (bases 1-105)
Source: RNAcentral
GAAAUGCGAUAAGUAGUGUGAAUUGCAGAAUUCAGUGAAUCAUCGAAUCUUUGAACGCACAUUGCGCCCGCCAGCACUCUGGCGGGCAUGCCUGUUCGAGCGUCAUUUCAACCCUCAGAACCCCUUGCGGGAUCUGGCGUUGGGGAUUGGCAUCCAGCCAGCCCCGAAAUCUAGUGGCGGUCCCUCCGCGACCUCCCCUGUGCAGUAGCGAUACCUCGGAGCGGGACAGCGGUCUGACCACGCCGUAAAACCCCCAACUUCUCAAGGUUGACCUCGAAUCAGGUAGGAAUACCCGCUGAACUUAAGC